This 500-nucleotide ribosomal RNA is filed under the name uncultured bacterium. RNAcentral's name for it is "partial 16S ribosomal RNA". It matches the Rfam family "Bacterial small subunit ribosomal RNA", at positions 29 to 523 of the family's 1533-position model. The record is from RNAcentral.
AUUGAACGCUGGCGGCAUGCCUUACACAUGCAAGCCGAACGGCAGCACGGGAGCAAUCCUGGUGGCGAGUGGCGAACGGGUGAGUAAAGUAUCGGAACGUGCCCAGUCGUGGGGGAUAACGUAGCGAAAGUUACGCUAAUACCGCAUACGAUCUAUGGAUGAAAGCGGGGGAUCGCAAGACCUCGCGCGAUUGGAUCGGCCGAUAUCAGAUUAGGGAGUUGGUGGGGUAAAGGCUCACCAAGCCGACGAUCUGUAGCUGGUCGGAGAGGACGACCAGCCACACUGGGACUGAGACACGGCCCAGACUCCUACGGGAGGCAGCAGUGGGGAAUUUUGGACAAUGGGCGAAAGCCUGAUCCAGCCAUGCCGCGUGCAGGAUGAAGGCCUUCGGGAUGUAAACUGCUUUUGUACGGAACGAAAAGGUUUGGGCUAAUAAGCUGAGCUCAUGACGGUACCGUAAGAAUAAGCACCGGCUAGCUACGUGCCAGCCGCCGCCGUAA